RNAcentral lists this transfer RNA (74 nucleotides) under Oikopleura dioica. It matches the Rfam family "tRNA". Rfam says of the family: Transfer RNA (tRNA) molecules are approximately 80 nucleotides in length. Their secondary structure includes four short double-helical elements and three loops (D, anti-codon, and T loops). Lineage: Eukaryota; Metazoa; Chordata; Appendicularia; Copelata; Oikopleuridae. The record is from Rfam by way of RNAcentral.
GCCAAUGUAGCUCAGCUGGUGAGAGCACGGGAUUCAUAACCCCGAGGUCGGUGGUUCGAGUCCACUCAUUGGCA